Molecule: ribosomal RNA, 395 nt
Filed under: uncultured bacterium
Lineage: Bacteria
Description: bacterial SSU rRNA
Rfam family: Bacterial small subunit ribosomal RNA
Source: RNAcentral
AUUGAACGCUGGCGGAAUGCUUUACACAUGCAAGUCGAACGGCAGCACGGGGGCAACCCUGGUGGCGAGUGGCGAACGGGUGAGUAAUACAUCGGAACGUGCCCAGUCGUGGGGGAUAACGUAGCGAAAGCUACGCUAAUACCGCAUACGAUCUACGGAUGAAAGCGGGGGAUCGCAAGACCUCGCGCGAUUGGAGCGGCCGAUGGCAGAUUAGGUAGUUGGUGGGGUAAAGGCUCACCAAGCCGACGAUCUGUAGCUGGUCUGAGAGGACGACCAGCCACACUGGGACUGAGACACGGCCCAGACUCCUACGGGAGGCAGCAGUGGGGAAUUUUGGGACAAUGGGCGCAAGCCUGAUCCAGCCAUUCCGCGUGCAGGAUGAAGGCCUUCGGGUU